UACGUAGGGGGCAAGCGUUGUCCGGAAUUAUUGGGCGUAAAGAGCUUGUAGGCGGUUUGUCGCGUCUGCUGUGAAAAUCCGGGGCUCAACCCCGGACUUGCAGUGGGUACGGGCAGACUAGAGUGUGGUAGGGGAGACUGGAAUUCCUGGUGUAGCGGUGAAAUGCGCAGAUAUCAGGAGGAACACCGAUGGCGAAGGCAGGUCUCUGGGCCACUACUGACGCUGGAGAAAGCGAAAGCAUGGGGAGCGAACAGG
This 255-nucleotide ribosomal RNA is filed under the name uncultured bacterium. RNAcentral describes it as "partial 16S ribosomal RNA". It matches the Rfam family "Bacterial small subunit ribosomal RNA", at positions 524 to 776 of the family's 1533-position model. The record is from RNAcentral.